This 253-nucleotide ribosomal RNA is filed under the name uncultured bacterium. Its description in RNAcentral is "partial 16S ribosomal RNA". It matches the Rfam family "Bacterial small subunit ribosomal RNA", at positions 524 to 776 of the family's 1533-position model. The record is from RNAcentral.
UACGGAGGGUGCAAGCGUUAUCCAGAUUCACUGGGUUUAAAGGGUGCGUAGGCGGGUUGGUAAGUCCGUGGUGAAAUCCCCAAGCUUAACUUGGGAACUGCCGUGGAUACUAUCAAUCUUGAAUAUCGUGGAGGUAAGCGGAAUAUGUCAUGUAGCGGUGAAAUGCUUAGAUAUGACAUAGAACACCAAUUGCGUAGGCAGCUUACUACACGAUCAUUGACGCUGAGGCACGAAAGCGUGGGGAGCAAACAGG